AGGGAAACCGAGUCUUAACUGGGCGUUAAGUUGCAGGGUAUAGACCCGAAACCCGGUGAUCUAGCCAUGGGCAGGUUGAAGGUUGGGUAACACUAACUGGAGGACCGAACCGACUAAUGUUGAAAAAUUAGCGGAUGACUUGUGGCUGGGGGUGAAAGGCCAAUCAAACCGGGAGAUAGCUGGUUCUCCCCGAAAGCUAUUUAGGUAGCGCCUCGUGAACUCAUCUCCGGGGGUAGAGCACUGUUUCGGCUAGGGGGUCAUCCCGACUUACCAACCCGAUGCAAACUGCGAAUACCGAAGAAUGUUAUCACGGGAGACACACGGCGGGUGCUAACGUCCGUCGUGAAGAGGGAAACAACCCAGACCGCCAGCUAAGGUCCCAAAGUCACAGUUAAGUGGGAAACGAUGUGGGAAGGCUCAGACAGCCAGGAUGUUGGCUUAGAAGCAGCCAUCAUUUAAAGAAAGCGUAAUAGCUCACUGGUCGAGUCGGCCUGCGCGGAAGAUGUAACGGGGCUAAACUGUGCACCGAAGCUGCGGCAGCGACGCUUAUGCGUUGUUGGGUAGGGGAGCGUUCUGUAAGCCUGCGAAGGUGUCCUGUGAGGGAUGCUGGAGGUAUCAGAAGUGCGAAUGCUGACAUAAGUAACGAUAAUGCGGGUGAAAAGCCCGCUCGCCGGAAGACCAAGGGUUCCUGUCCAACGUUAAUCGGGGCAGGGUGAGUCGACCCCUAAGGCGAGGCCGAAAGGCGUAGUCGAUGGGAAACGGGUUAAUAUUCCCGUACUUGGUGUUACUGCGAAGGGGGGACGGAGAAGGCUAUGUUGGCCGGGCGACGGUUGUCCCGGUUUAAGCGUGUAGGCUGGUUUUCCAGGCAAAUCCGGAAAAUCAAG
This 884-nucleotide ribosomal RNA is filed under the name Salmonella enterica subsp. enterica serovar Kentucky. Its description in RNAcentral is "partial 23S ribosomal RNA". It matches the Rfam family "Bacterial large subunit ribosomal RNA", at positions 670 to 1554 of the family's 2925-position model. Lineage: Bacteria; Pseudomonadati; Pseudomonadota; Gammaproteobacteria; Enterobacterales; Enterobacteriaceae. The record is from RNAcentral.